GGAGGGGUGUGUGAGCGGUUGAAACAGCAGGUCUCGAAAACCUGUAUGCCGAAAGGCAUCGCGGGUUCAAAUCCCGCCCCCUCCG
RNAcentral lists this transfer RNA (85 nucleotides) under Elusimicrobiota bacterium. RNAcentral describes it as "tRNA-Ser". It matches the Rfam family "tRNA". From Rfam's summary of the family: Transfer RNA (tRNA) molecules are approximately 80 nucleotides in length. Their secondary structure includes four short double-helical elements and three loops (D, anti-codon, and T loops). The record is from RNAcentral. Lineage: Bacteria; Pseudomonadati; Elusimicrobiota.